Molecule: ribosomal RNA, 535 nt
Filed under: Hannaella pagnoccae
Lineage: Eukaryota; Fungi; Basidiomycota; Tremellomycetes; Tremellales; Bulleribasidiaceae
Description: partial large subunit ribosomal RNA
Rfam family: Eukaryotic large subunit ribosomal RNA
Source: RNAcentral
AGCGAAGCGGGAAGAGCUCAAAUUUAAAACCCCAGCGUCCUCAGGGCGUUCGAGUUGAAAACAAAAAGACGCGUUUUCUGCGCUGGACUGUGUCCAAGUCCUCUUGGAAUAGGGUAUCAAAGAGGGUGACAAUCCCGUACUUGACACAACAACCAGUGCUCUGUGAUACGUGUUCUACGAGUCGAGUUGUUUGGGAAUGCAGCUCAAAAUGGGUGGUAAAUUCCAUCUAAAGCUAAAUAUAGGCGAGAGACCGAUAGCGAACAAGUACCGUGAGGGAAAGAUGAAAAGCACUUUGGAAAGAGAGUUAAACAGUACGUGAAAUUGUUGAAAGGGAAACGAUUGAAGUCAGUCGUGUUGAUCAGUUUCAGCUAGUUCUGCUAGUGUAUUGCUGGUCAACGGGUCAACAUCAGUUAUAUUCGGUGGAAAAAGGCAUAGAGAAUGUAGCACCUCCGGGUGUGUUAUAGCUCUGUGUCUCAUACACUGGGACGUGAACUGAGGAAUGCAGCUCGCCUUUAUGGCCGGGGUUCGCCCCACG